RNAcentral lists this long non-coding RNA (732 nucleotides) under Capsella grandiflora. RNAcentral's name for it is "long non-coding RNA (CGRA_LNC000043)". The record is from RNAcentral. Lineage: Eukaryota; Viridiplantae; Streptophyta; Magnoliopsida; Brassicales; Brassicaceae.
ACCAAUACUGUUGGCUCUUCCAAUUUUGUUUACACUUGGCAUGUAAAAAAAAAUCGGGAAGCGAUGAAAUUUUGUCGCCGAUGGACAAAAUUCCCAAUAAAAAGGAUAAAUGUCCAUCUCUGAAACAUAUCUCGUAGAUGUGUGAAUGUCUAUUGCCUAAGCGUUGAUGGAUGAAGUUUGAUGUACAUUACAAUCAUUGGCUUUGAGUCCAAGGAAGAGUCCAUUAUGCAAUCUGCUACUGGCUAGAGUUGAACAUAAAAGACAUGUUAGAAUAAUGGACGAGUUAGUAUAAUAGCUUUGGUCCAUGAAGAACGUAAAAUGACAAAAAUUGUAAUGGACAAGGUAUUAUAAUGUACGAGUUAAAUAAUAAAUAUGGUCUAUCAGAUACUCACUCUAUGGUUCCUCGAUGGACAAUACCUAAUCUCGUAUCCCUACCGAGAUUGUUGUCAUGCGCCGCGAGACAAAGAGAAUCUAUGGACAAAAAAACAACUGCUCAUAUCGGUGGACCAAAUAAAAUAUCCAAGUUAAAUAAUAUCUAGUCCUUGAUGGACAAAUAUUCACUCUUUGGUUCUUCGAUGGGCAACACCUGAUCUAUUGUUGACAUGCGUCGUAGAACAAUCAUCUGAUCUGGCCAUCAACUUCGUUGGGAUGACAAAAAUCAAAAUUUAGAUGAGUGGACAAAAUGAUACCGGAUGAGUUGGAAAAUAGAUCUGGUCCAUCAAAUACUAACUC